GCUCGUGCACACACGCAAAAGCACGCAGUGACGCAGGAGAAAAAAAGCACUGCGUCAUGAACAGUGUUCUAUUUGUUCAUUUGUUAUCGAUCGGCCUCUCAAUCAAUCAAUAAUACUAAAUAGGAGUACAUCGUUUGGACAGAAGCUUGAGGUUUCAGCAUUUCCUGCUCCAGUUACACAAAAAAGAUUAGGAGAGAGAUGAAAAACCUAAGCACAAUCACUGACCCCUUUCGCUUCUCCAUCCCAAGCUGCAGCUGCUGGCGUGGUCCAUGCUCGAGACAAUGGCGUAGCAGUACAAUGAUGCAACCCGCACGUGCCAGUUUCGCACGUGUCCAUUCAGAAUAAGUGCACUUGCACGAUGCCGAAGGCUGCUGCUCCUUUUGCCAUGCAUGCUGCGCUGACUGGCAGUUGGAGGAGACUCCAAGAACAGAUGGAGUAAUCGUGGGUAGUUUAGUAGCGACCGAGUGCUCACUAUUUACGCCAGAACGCGCAUCUAUUGGUAGCGCCUGGACGAGGAGCUGGAGUUGGAGGAGACGCUGCGCCAGAAGCCGGCGCCGUAGAAGUGCGAGCUCAUGAUCUCGCGCUCCAGCUCCGCCGCCGCCGCCGACUCCACCUCGCCGCGCGCCUCCUCGUCGAUGUCUAGCGUCGCCGCUCCGAUCAUCGCCUUGCCGCUGCUUCCCGAAGGCGACGCGGGCGCCGGCCUCUUCCGGUUGGCUCCGGCACCUCCGUGGCCGCGGCGGCGCCGGCGCCUCCUCCUCACCCGCCGCAUGACGCCCGCGGGGAGCCGGACGGUGACGAGCAGCAGCACGUCGAGCAGCGCCAGCGGGCAGCAGCAGCACACCGCCGCGCAGUUCGCCGCCGCCUGCCCCGCGCCCUCCCCGCACCCCGGCUGGGGCUCAUGCUCGUCCUCGCCGUCGCCGUCGCCGUCGCCGUGCCAGUGCUCGCGCAUGCGCCCCGCUCCCCUUCCCGAUCGCGAGCCCGCCGCCGAUUCUUUCCUGGAGCCCUUGGCGCUCCCCGCACAGGUUGCCGCCGGCUGCGUGCGUCAACACCCAGCCAAGAUUUCUUUUAAAAGGAAGAUACCCUGCUUUGUGCUCUCGGACGGAGUGGUAUUUAGAGAGGGAGGUGUGUAUUGGUUGGUGGAGGUGGAGCAGGGAGAGAGAGAGGGGGAGGGAGAGGACGAGGAUAGAGGCGGCGAUGGCGUGCGUGGCGUCGGCUUCCUUUUCUUUCUCGCGGUCGCGGCUGCUCCGCGCCUCCCCGCCGGGAAAGAGAGGGGAAAAAAAAUCAAUCCCCAAUUUUCCUCCGCCCGUGACGUAUUUAUCGCUCCCGUUCGCCGGAUGGUGACCGCAAGACUGCAAAACACACGAAACAUUUAUGCACAAAUUUGUCAAGACGCGGCGGGUUUUGUGACGUGGGAACGCGGGCGACGCCACGCGGG
RNAcentral lists this unclassified non-coding RNA (1435 nucleotides) under Zea mays. RNAcentral describes it as "misc RNA Zm00001eb057380". The record is from RNAcentral. Lineage: Eukaryota; Viridiplantae; Streptophyta; Magnoliopsida; Poales; Poaceae.